GAAAAGUAAAUCUUCUAAGAAUAUAUCAUUUUCUUAAAAUGCCACAAAAUUAAUACUUAGGAAGAAACUAUAUAUUUGAUACAGUGGAAGAAGUCUUCCUCUAGAAGCAAUUUUUCAUCUUGUUUAUUUCUUAGCUUUCAUGCUCAUGUCUGUAGAACAAGUGAGGAUAAAUAGGCCAGUCCAAAAAUUGCCUCUCUUUUAAUUAAAAACACACACACAUGUGCAUACAUGCAAAACUUUAUUAAGUGUGACAUAUUUUGUCUCUUGAAUUUUAUACUUUCUCAAUUCUCAGUAACUCCAGCCAUCAACAGUCUGUCAACAGAUAAGCAAUGUUGAUGAGCUUCUUAUAUUUUU
RNAcentral lists this long non-coding RNA (354 nucleotides) under Bos taurus (domestic cattle). RNAcentral describes it as "long non-coding RNA NONBTAT024788". The record is from RNAcentral. Lineage: Eukaryota; Metazoa; Chordata; Mammalia; Artiodactyla; Bovidae.